ACAGGAGAGAAGCCUUAUCACUGUGAUGUCUGUGGCCAAACGUGACCAUAAAGCAGAGAAGCCAUAUUACUGUGAUAUCUGUGUUAAAUCAUUCCCUGUGAGUUGUAAUUUAUCUAAACUCAGACAUCUCCAUACAGGUGAGAAGCGAUAUCACUGUGAUGUCUGUGACAAAUUGUUUUCCUGAAGUAUAUAAGUUGACAAACGUAUUCAUACUGGAGAGAAGCCAUAUUCUUGUGUAAAUCAUUCUCUCAAGGUAGCCACUUUGCUUCUCACAAACGUUUCCAUACAGGUGAGAAGCCUUAUCACUGUGAUACCUGUGGUAAAUUGUUCUCCUGACGUUGUUGCUUAACUAUACACAAACGUAUUCACAUUAUUUUGAAUUCGUCGGGCAUUAUCUGACAGCUUUCAAAUUUGAAUGGAGUGUUUAUUUUUAGAAUGACAUUGUCGGGUAGGCAUAAGAGGCCAAGUCUGGCUAGUUUGAUUAAAAAAUAAGUAGAGAAUUUGGGCCGGAUAUGGCUGAUUUAAAUUCUAAAAGAUUAACACAGGAAAUACCAAUAUUUCUUAGUGCAAGGACCAUGGCAAUCAUUUUUGAUUGCCAAUGAAAAUUUUUAUGUAAUAGAAUUUAUUUUAAAUAUAAACAAAUGCAGUGAAUAAAGGAUUUGAAAAUGCAUUCUUUUAGCAUUUAUUUGCAUGCAAAAAUUAUAUAUCUAUACACAUGAAAUGAUGCUCAUGAUUGCACCAUUCAAUACAGUUGUAGAAAUUAAAAAGUAAUAAGCAGAAUUGAAUUGGUGAUAAAUGACCGCUCGGUACUUCUGGUGUUAACUAAAUGUGUAUCUAUUCAUAUAGAUGUAUGACUAUCAAUGUGACAAUUCAUAAGAACAAUAAGCAUUUUGAGCUCCUCCUAAAUUGGUGAUAGUGUUGUGGGCUUUCUCCAUGGCAAUAACCAAGCUACUCAUCAGGGAAUUGCUGUAAUUGUCAAAGCUCCUUUUAGGCCAAAGAAAGAAAA
This is a long non-coding RNA of Octopus sinensis (East Asian common octopus), 1006 nucleotides long. RefSeq lists it as uncharacterized. The record is from RefSeq and is a predicted model, not a curated record. The transcript is spliced from 2 exons. NCBI's taxonomy places the organism in Eukaryota, Metazoa, Mollusca, Cephalopoda, Octopoda, Octopodidae.